RNAcentral lists this ribosomal RNA (554 nucleotides) under Schizonycha durbana. RNAcentral's name for it is "partial 16S ribosomal RNA". It matches the Rfam family "Bacterial large subunit ribosomal RNA", at positions 1797 to 2621 of the family's 2925-position model. RNAcentral also lists the same sequence under 1 other name. The record is from RNAcentral. Lineage: Eukaryota; Metazoa; Arthropoda; Insecta; Coleoptera; Scarabaeidae.
CGCCUGUUUAACAAAAACAUGUCUUUUUGAUUAUAAUUUAAAGUCUAACCUGCCCAAUGAGGAGUUAAAUGGCCGCGGUAACCUGACCGUGCAAAGGUAGCAUAAUCAUUAGUUUUUUAAUUGAAAGCUGGUAUGAACGGUUGGACGAGGGAGUAGCUGUCUCAGUUUAAUUUUAUUAGAACUUUAUUUUUAAGUAAGAAAGCUUAAAUGAAUUUAAAAGACGAGAAGACCCUAUAGAGUUUUAUAUUUGUUAUAAUAGGUAUUUUGUAGUAUGUAUAUUGUAAUUAUUAUAGUGUGUAUUUUGUUGGGGUGACAGAAAAAUUAAAUGAACUUUUUUUAUUGUAAACCAUUAAUUUAUGAUUUAAUGAUCCGUUGUAGAGCGAUUAUAAGAUUAAAUUACCUUAGGGAUAACAGCGUAAUUUUUUUUGAGAGUUCUAAUCGAAGAAAGAGUUUGCGACCUCGAUGUUGGAUUAAAAUUUACUUUUGGUGUAGGAGCUAGGGGGUUAGGUCUGUUCGACCUUUAAAAUUUUACAUGAUCUGAGUUCAAACCGGAG